AGAAAAACCCAUGAAGGGGACAUUAGUAUGUUGCAGAUGAAGACACUGAGGCUUGGAGAACUUAAAUUGCCCAAAGAGCUUCUCACACCUGGUUGAAGGUCACAUAACCUUAGCAUGCCCAGAUAAACCAAGUAUGCAACCACACGGGGAACCUAAGUGCUCAGACCAAGGAGCAGGAACUGAAUUAAGACACGGACACCACAUGGCAGAAUCCAAGAUCCAAUCAGAUCGAGCUCUGGAAUCACCCCCAUGGUGGAAGCCAGUCAGAUCAUUCCUCUUGGCAUCACCUCAUUGCAAGAUCCAAUCAGAUCACGUCUCAUUACCCUAUCCUUAUAAAACCAGACAGACCUCAGCUCAGGAAGGCACUGCUUUGGGAGCUAUCACCCCUGUUUUCCUUAUUUACUGCAAGUAAUAAAAU
This 418-nucleotide long non-coding RNA is filed under the name Pan troglodytes (chimpanzee). Its description in RNAcentral is "long non-coding RNA NONPTRT004110". Lineage: Eukaryota; Metazoa; Chordata; Mammalia; Primates; Hominidae. The record is from RNAcentral.